This 781-nucleotide long non-coding RNA is filed under the name Bos taurus (domestic cattle). RNAcentral describes it as "long non-coding RNA NONBTAT007032". Lineage: Eukaryota; Metazoa; Chordata; Mammalia; Artiodactyla; Bovidae. The record is from RNAcentral.
GACCUUUCGAAUUUCCUUCUCCCUCUCCAGUUUUUUAUUGUAAUUAUGGUGGAAUCACUGAUUGACUCUUAGGGUAAUUCUGUCACUUGAAUGAAUCUGAAAAUAAGACUAAGUGAGAAUUGUCAGUGAAAAUGGAGUUAGGAAGAAAAACUUUUUAAAUAAGGUGUAUGUUAGAAAGCCACAUUAACCAAAUAUGUGUAUAUGUGUGAUUCAUGUAUACUGUACUGGCUGUGAUAGUGAGUAUUAAUUACCAAUCUUGUACAUCUUCUCCUCCCUUCAAAUUCUUUCUGUUUGAACUAUUCCUGUCUAGAUUUAGCCUUUGAUGCUCACUAAUUCUUUCUGUGUUUAAUGGAGGUUUUAUUUUGUAAUUACUUUCUUUAAUGAAGUACAGUUCUUCUUUACAUACAUUGUCCACGUUGUCUCAUUGUGUUUCAGUAUUCUGUAUUCCGGAUUUCUUUCUAAAUGUGUUGAAAAUGUCAGAAUUGCUUAGCUAAUGUUACUCUUUUGGUUUCCUCCUCAUUUCUAAUGUUCUCAUUUUCUUCUAUUUCUCGCAUUUCUUAAGCCCUGAUUUGGAGAUCUCUAAACUGCAUAAUGCUAAUCCUAAUUGUGGGACUAUAAAUAGAAUUCUUUUAAAGUAUUUCUUCACAUAUAAUUUUUCUUUUUAUCAGAGAUUAGGAAUUUUUGGUGUGUGUGUUUCAAAAAGUUCUGCCUUCUAUUUCUCUCCCUAUCAUUGAUAAUUAUUAUUGUGUAGAUGUUACUGUUCUGGUUAGUGUUAUGAUAU